RNAcentral lists this ribosomal RNA (379 nucleotides) under uncultured Microcystis sp. Its description in RNAcentral is "bacterial SSU rRNA". It matches the Rfam family "Bacterial small subunit ribosomal RNA", at positions 196 to 593 of the family's 1533-position model. Lineage: Bacteria; Bacillati; Cyanobacteriota; Cyanophyceae; Chroococcales; Microcystaceae. The record is from RNAcentral.
CAAGGUGAAACCUAAUUGGCCUGGAGAAGAGCUUGCGUCUGAUUAGCUAGUUGGUGGGGUAAGAGCCUACCAAGGCGACGAUCAGUAGCUGGUCUGAGAGGAUGAGCAGCCACACUGGGACUGAGACACGGCCCAGACUCCUACGGGAGGCAGCAGUGGGGAAUUUUCCGCAAUGGGCGAAAGCCUGACGGAGCAACGCCGCGUGAGGGAGGAAGGUCUUUGGAUUGUAAACCUCUUUUCUCAAGGAAGAAGUUCUGACGGUACUUGAGGAAUCAGCCUCGGCUAACUCCGUGCCAGCAGCCGCGGUAAUACGGGGGGGGCAAGCGUUAUCCGGAAUUAUUGGGCGUAAAGCGUCCGCAGGUGGUCAGCCAAGUCUGCU